Molecule: ribosomal RNA, 460 nt
Filed under: uncultured bacterium
Lineage: Bacteria
Description: partial 16S ribosomal RNA
Rfam family: Bacterial small subunit ribosomal RNA
Source: RNAcentral
CCUACGGGUGGCAGCAGUGAGGAAUAUUGGUCAAUGGGCGAGAGUCUGAACCAGCCAAGUAGCGUGAAGGAUGACUGAUCUAUGGGUUGUAAACUUCUUUUAUAUGGGAAUAAAACGGGGUAUGCAUACCCUCUUGUAUGUACCAUAUGAAUAAGCAUCGGCUAACUCCGUGCCAGCAGCCGCGGUAAUACGGAGGAUCCGAGCGUUAUCCGGCUUUAUUGGGUUUAAAGGGAGCGUAGGUGGAUUGUUAAGUCAGUUGUGAAAGUUUGCGGCUCAACCGUAAAAUUGCAGUUGAAACUGGUAGUCUUGAGUAUAUUAGAGGUGGGCGGAAGUCGUGGUGUAGCGGUGAAAUGCUUAGAUAUCACGAAGAACUCCGAUUGCGAAGGCAGCUCACUGGACUGUAACUGACACUGAUGCUCGAAAGUGUGGGUAUCAAACAGGAUUAGAUACCCUUGUAGUC